UGAAGUGAAUCCUGGGCCGGUCGCCUACGAGCCACGACGAUCCAACGGCACGGGUCGGCCGGGCGCCUUUGCGGAUCCCUAACCACCAGCGAAGAGAGACCUUCUUCCCCACGCCGCCACCUCCCGUCUCAGCAGAUCACUGUCCCAUUGUUCAGCCGCCGUUCUCUUGGUGCAUCUGAGUUUACAACGCUCCCGAGAGUGAUUACUGAUGGGAAAUCCCCGUGAGCAACUCCUAUACAUCCAUAGAAUCUGAGCACCAACAAACAAUAAUUUUCUUGGAUUCCUCUGAUCCAAAUAUGAAGAUGCACCGCGCAUGCAAAAUCUGUGGAGAAAUAGGACACACCUACAAGGAACACCAGGAUGGAUGCCCCUACUGUGAAGCGAGUCAUUUGGGUGAAGAAUGUCCCACUAUGCAAGUCACGUGUUUCAUGUGUGAAGCGAUUAACCACAAUCCAGCCCAGUGUCGUCUACUCACCAAGACACAAGAAGUGGUUCAGCAACAGAGGAAAGGAAUGAAGGAAGCUAUCCAGGAAUUCAUGGCAGCACCCAUGAAGAGAAGGAAGAAGAGGCGCUACGCCAAGAAGUGUAGAACAAGGGGCACUGUGCCAACGCGUGUCCAGAACUGAAAGGAGAGAGAGAGAAAGAUGGGGGCGCUACUCCAGCCCGUGUCCAGAAUUGAAAAGAGGGAGAGGGAGAUGGGAACCUUGGAGCAAAGAAGCCCCAUGACUUGUCAGGAGUAAUUUGUUUGAUACUCUUCCUUUCUGUAAGAAUUCAUUCAGUACACUAUUCCAAGGGAGCUAAUGUUAGUAAUUGGAGGACAGCUAUCUGAGGCAAGCAAUAAGUGUAUUAGGAAACUUUUUACGUUAUCUUGGAGAUGCUGGGUUGAGACGUGCAAUGUCAAUGGAAGAGGCUAUACAUUUCCUGUGUUGUGAUUGCUAUUUCUUUUGUGAGCAGAAUAUGACUAGUGGGUCCUUGCGCGGUGCUUUGCUGGUAUGUCAAUGUGCUGGGGUUUUUUGUUGUAUUUGGCGUAAACUUGUAGCUUCGCUUGU
Triticum aestivum (bread wheat) is the source of this 1049-nucleotide long non-coding RNA. RefSeq lists it as uncharacterized. The record is from RefSeq and is a predicted model, not a curated record. NCBI's taxonomy places the organism in Eukaryota, Viridiplantae, Streptophyta, Magnoliopsida, Poales, Poaceae. The transcript is spliced from 3 exons.